Molecule: ribosomal RNA, 491 nt
Filed under: Goniopsis cruentata
Lineage: Eukaryota; Metazoa; Arthropoda; Malacostraca; Decapoda; Grapsidae
Description: partial 12S ribosomal RNA
Source: RNAcentral
AAUUAUUGGUAGUAAAAGGGAAAAUUAGAAUACUAUUAUAUAAAUUAAUCUAAAAUUUCAGUCGAAGCUAGAAAACGUUAGUUAAAAACUAGGAUUAGAUACCCUAUUAUUCUAAAAUGAGAGUUAUAAUACUUAAUUAGUAAUAGAUAGUUACUUAAAAAUUAAAAAAUUUGGCGGUAAUUUAAUCUAUCCCGAGGAACUUGUUUCUUAAUCGAUAAACCACGUAGAAUCUUACUUAUUUUUGUAAAAAACAGUUUGUAUACCCCCCUUAACAGGGGAUUCUUUUAAAAAAAAAUUACUAAUUUAUAAUUGUUUUAAAAAAAUAUAUCAUGGGGGGGCACAUAAAAAAAUUGAAAAGAGUUACAAUAAAUUAUUUUUUAUGGAGUAAUAAAAUUAGGUUUUUUAUGAAGGAGGAGUUGGUUGUUAUUUAAGUUUUAUAAACCUACGUGACAUUAGUUCUAAAUUAUGUACAUAUCGCCCGCCGCUUUCUU